Molecule: long non-coding RNA, 223 nt
Filed under: Capsicum annuum
Lineage: Eukaryota; Viridiplantae; Streptophyta; Magnoliopsida; Solanales; Solanaceae
Description: long non-coding RNA (CANN_LNC017283)
Source: RNAcentral
CCGCCUCAUAAAUUACUUUUUGUUAUAUAAUUAUGUCUUACUGCUAUUCUAACUUUAUUAUAUUAUUGUACUUGACUUAAUUAUCAAGUCAGCAAUGGACUCAAUCACCAAAUCAUCAAACUCUACCGAUAUUGAAUUAACAGACGCAAUUACUGAAGUUGUGCCUCUUAGCGCAGUCAAGCUCCACGAUCGUACCUCCAUAAUUAAAAUCAUAGUCAUAGGG